CCUACGGGGUGCAGCAGUGAGGAAUAUUGGUCAAUGGACGAGAGUCUGAACCAGCCAAGUAGCGUGAAGGAUGACUGCCCUAUGGGUUGUAAACUUCUUUUAUAUGGGAAUAAAAUGUUCCACGUGUGGGAUUUUGUAUGUACCAUAUGAAUAAGGAUCGGCUAACUCCGUGCCAGCAGCCGCGGUAAUACGGAGGAUCCGGGCGUUAUCCGGAUUUAUUGGGUUUAAAGGGAGCGUAGGUGGAUUGUUAAGUCAGUUGUGAAAGUUUGCGGCUCAACCGUAACAUUGCAGUUUAAACUGGCAGGCUUGAGUACAGGAGAGGUGGGCGGAAUUCGUGGUGUAGCGGUGAAAUGCUUAGAUAUCACGAAGAACCCCGAUUGCGAAGGCAGUUCACUGGACUGCAACUGACACUGAGUCUCGAAAGUGUGGGUAUCAAACAGGAUUAGAUACCCCGGUAGUC
This 460-nucleotide ribosomal RNA is filed under the name uncultured bacterium. RNAcentral describes it as "partial 16S ribosomal RNA". It matches the Rfam family "Bacterial small subunit ribosomal RNA", at positions 338 to 795 of the family's 1533-position model. The record is from RNAcentral.